GCCUGGGUGGCUCAGUCGGUUGAGCGUCUGACUCCGGCUCAGGUCAUGAUCUCACCAUUGUGGGUUCGAGCCCCGCAUUGGGUU
Molecule: transfer RNA, 84 nt
Filed under: Felis catus (domestic cat)
Lineage: Eukaryota; Metazoa; Chordata; Mammalia; Carnivora; Felidae
Rfam family: tRNA
About the family: Transfer RNA (tRNA) molecules are approximately 80 nucleotides in length.
Source: Rfam by way of RNAcentral